GAUUAUCAUCCUCUGGGAUCGACUAAAGAGUUGCUAGUGGUGUAUGUUCAAGAAUGAGUUUUUGAACUAAAUCCUAAUAUCAACGACUUGUAUUUUAUAGAUUCAAUUUUAAAAGCAAUGUAAGAAAAUUAACUGGGGAAAAGUCAUAUAUCUAAACGUCUAGAAUAUUGACAAUCCAAUUUUGGAAUUAAAAUUAGAGAGAACAUGGGUUCCUUUUAGUGAUCUUAGGGUUUGAGGAUUAAGGUCAUCCAUGAUCAAAUUGAGUUCUAUAACACAUUUUUGCAUUCGAAACCUAAUAAUUCCUUCUAACUCCGGUCCCCAAAUACCAUCAAGAUAAUGAUUCAAAUUAGGGUUUUGAGUUGAAUCAUUAAGGUUUCACUUAUCUUGUGGAUUUCACUUUAGUGUAGAUAAUGAUAAGUUAAAUAGAAUUAACUAGUGAUUAAUGGUUUCCAAGCAUCACUAGUGCCCAAAUAAAUGGCUACCAUAUCCUCCCCCAAACUACAUAGAAAGUCUCUUUCUUAUUGGAUCUAACAUAAAACCCAGCUAGAUCUUUUUAGUUUUGCCAAUUCCAUUGUUCCUCAUGUUGUUGCUACACUUUUAUGCUUCAAUUCCAG
Molecule: long non-coding RNA, 614 nt
Filed under: Vitis vinifera (wine grape)
Lineage: Eukaryota; Viridiplantae; Streptophyta; Magnoliopsida; Vitales; Vitaceae
Description: long non-coding RNA (VVIN_LNC008146)
Source: RNAcentral